UGUUUGUGAGUUGUGGUGGUUGGCGUUCGACGCGGACUUUCUCAGCCUACCUGUCUGUCUACACUUGCCAGAUCUGUGCUAAAGAGAAGAUCCCGAACUUCUGAUAGUCUCCAACCACCAACAGAUGUUCGUCCAGCAGAUCAUGCAGUCAUAGUUAACCAUCUGUGAAAGCGUCGUUGGUUUCAUGACCAAUGAGCUAGUACAGCGUGUUAGACAAGUUUUAACCUUGAAGAAGGCCGCCGCAAGAGGGCAAUACUGCUCUCAUCCAACUCGAAGACUGCCUCUCGUUCACAAGAAAUUUUCCACCAGACAGUCGUUUUGUUCUUUUGUUUUAAUGCGGUUGGCCUUGUCUCCAGAUUGAUCAACAGUGUGCGUUCCAACGUCUUCAGAAUCAUCGGGUUGACUGAGCGAAAGAAAAUGCUAGGAAUUAAAGAAAGCUUCUUGACCUUUGAAACAAAGACCUGAAACGAAAAGUCAAGGAUCGACAAAGCCGUUACUUCCGAAACUAUUGGCCACCUCUUCUUGUUUAUACUGAAACUGAACUGCUGAGGCUGGAGAGGUUUUUCAAAACGUCUGCUCAGAACAAGGACAGAGAAGACUCAUUUAUAUCGCACAGAAAAAGGGUCCAAGUAUGGAUCCCAUAAUUCGUGGUUACCUACGUCA
This is a long non-coding RNA of Limulus polyphemus (Atlantic horseshoe crab), 663 nucleotides long. RefSeq lists it as uncharacterized. The record is from RefSeq and is a predicted model, not a curated record. NCBI's taxonomy places the organism in Eukaryota, Metazoa, Arthropoda, Merostomata, Xiphosura, Limulidae. The transcript has 5 exons.